AGUUUUUUGCAGUGGCAGUAUUGCAGCCAAUGAGGUUUAUCUGAGGGGUGAUUAUUGCUCUUUGAAAAUUGGAAAAAAAAAAAAAAAAAAGACAUGACAUUUGCAUAAAUUCUUUUUUUUUUUUUUGAGAUGGAGUCUUGCUGUGUUGCCCAGACU
RNAcentral lists this small nuclear RNA (156 nucleotides) under Homo sapiens (human). RNAcentral's name for it is "U4 spliceosomal RNA". It matches the Rfam family "U4 spliceosomal RNA". Rfam says of the family: U4 small nuclear RNA (U4 snRNA) is a component of the major U2-dependent spliceosome. The record is from Rfam by way of RNAcentral. Lineage: Eukaryota; Metazoa; Chordata; Mammalia; Primates; Hominidae.